CGUUCAGUCAUUCUAUGCAUACGUGCUAUACCGGUUUGCAUAGAUUGUCCGAACA
Molecule: microRNA precursor, 55 nt
Filed under: Ciona intestinalis (vase tunicate)
Lineage: Eukaryota; Metazoa; Chordata; Ascidiacea; Phlebobranchia; Cionidae
Description: microRNA cin-mir-4043 precursor
Source: miRBase by way of RNAcentral